Molecule: long non-coding RNA, 1471 nt
Organism: Pongo pygmaeus (Bornean orangutan)
Lineage: Eukaryota; Metazoa; Chordata; Mammalia; Primates; Hominidae
Exons: 5
Source: RefSeq, a predicted model, not a curated record
UCUACUUAACAGCAUCUAAGUCUAGAAAUUCAGAAACGUCUAUAUGUGCGCCUCUCUCUGUAAUGUCCUGAUUCUUUUUUUUUUUUCUCAUCCACUUGCCCAUCAGUGGUUCAGAUAUUCUCUCCAUAUUUGUGUUUGCAAAGUUCUAUUCCUGAAUGGAAUUUUCUCCCAGGAAUUCCCAACCGAGGCCAUCUGCUCUGCAGGCAGAAAGUGAAGCGACCGCAGCCUGAUGCAGCCAGGAAGGCAGAGGCUGAGAGGAGGGAGUGUGGCAUCAGAACAGAGUCGGCCGGGGCUCUGGCUUCCUCCUCCGGGAUCAAGGGAAAUGUGCGAAGCACAGUGCAGAAUCCGGGGCAGCUCAUGCCCACUCACUUACUGGGGAACAGAGAAAACACGAGUGACGGGGAGAUUUUGUGGGCUGACACUCCUCAGAAAUGCUGUGUGCACAUGGGCAUGGUGAUUGAUACUUAGCGCUUUGAAGCAAACACUGUGAGACUACUCAGCAUUGAGAGAAGCUGUCCACGCAGAUGCCCAGGAAGCAGCCCGGAGGAUAGGGUGCCCCAGCAAUACUGCAGAAUCCCAACUACUGACGAGAAUGAGUAAAAGAAUGCACAGAUUGGACAUGCCUUUCUCACCAUCCUCACAGGGAACACAGCAAUAGCAGCUGUGAGUCUCCUGUCUGCCCGAGAAGGUGCCCCCUCAUCAGCAAGCCGGCUCUCCUCACACCAGCUGGCAGGGGCCUCUCCAACGCCUGAGCUCCAGGCACACAUCGCUUCCACAUUCCUGUGACACCUGCCACAGUCAGCCUGGCAUUGCGGUGUCUGAGCACCUGUCGUUGCAUCUGUGCUGAAUCAGGCACUGUGAGUGCAAGGCCAGGCCCCGUGGACUUGGGUUCCCACGGGUACCUGGCGGGUUGCCCUGCAUCAGGAAGUGCUUGUUCCAUCCUGAAUGUGGACUUCAGAAAAGGACACCCCUACAUAUGCUGCUUUGUUUAUUUCACAGACUCAGAUCUCCAACUAUCAAGAGUAGAGGGAAAGUUUUCCCUUUCCUACAAAUGUAAUGACAAAAACACCAUGUACCGAAUGGGUUAACAAAUGAAUGAAAAAACUUUAUCCUACACAGUUCCUCCUAUGAAGCUACCAAGAGAUGGGUGAAUAAAGGCUACCUAAGCCCAUUUCCUACGGACCAUAUCCUCAAAUAGCACAUACCUAUCGAACAUUGACAACCCUCAAGAUAACAGGGGCAUCUGAGAAAUGUAGGAAGCAAGGCAGGUUGCUUGGGGAAAUAUUUGUGGACUGCCUUCUUCUAAGGUUAUUCCUAUUUUAAAGGACUUGAAAAAACACUCUGCCACACAGCUGCUGAAAAAGAAAUAUGAGCUGACAAAGCAUUCCUCAUUUUACCUAAACAAGAAAAGAAAAGAGGCCACCAUACCCCAGGGCACAGGUGACAGACAAUAAAAUAACAAAGGUCAGUG